GCCAAAUGUGGAGCCUAUGUGGGGCUCAUCUCACGACCCUGAGAUCAUGACCUGAGCUGAAACCAGAAGUCCAACACUUAACUGAUUGACUGAGCCAGCCAGGUGCUCCUCAUGUGAGUGUUUCUUUAUGACUUCUGAGUUAGAAAAUAAAGAACUCACUUAAAAGCUCUCUGCUUCUUUUUGUCUCUUAGAAAUAAGAGUUUUUUCUCAAUGACUAACUUAUUUUUUACUUUGAGGGUUGGAAGAAAGAAGUGUGUCUCUGUAUCUCUUUGGCCAGGAAUUCCCCCAAACAAAGCUUUUUUCAAAGCAUGCCACUAUCAAGCAUCCCCAGGCAUUCGAGGGAGAAAGAAGCCCUCUUUCUUUGUCCUGUGGAUAUAGAUUCAACAGAUACUUGACGCUGAAUGGAAGGGAGAGUGGAAGACUUGCCAGCAGUACAGGCUGCCUUAUUCACCUUUGCACUUCAGCAUUUAAGAGGAGAAUCAACACAUGUUAAUUCUUUG
Mustela lutreola (European mink) is the source of this 500-nucleotide long non-coding RNA. RefSeq lists it as uncharacterized. The record is from RefSeq and is a predicted model, not a curated record. Lineage: Eukaryota; Metazoa; Chordata; Mammalia; Carnivora; Mustelidae. The transcript is spliced from 3 exons.